Molecule: ribosomal RNA, 253 nt
Filed under: uncultured bacterium
Lineage: Bacteria
Description: partial 16S ribosomal RNA
Rfam family: Bacterial small subunit ribosomal RNA
Source: RNAcentral
UACGUAGGGGGCUAGCGUUGUCCGGAAUCAUUGGGCGUAAAGAGCGUGUAGGUGGCUUGAUAAGUCUGCUGUGAAAGUCCAGGGCUCAACCCUGGAAUGCCAGUGGAAACUGUCAGGCUAGAGUCCGGAAGAGGCGAGUGGAACUCCUGGUGUAGCGGUGAAAUGCGCAGAUAUCAGGAAGAACACCAAUGGCGAAGGCAGCUCGCUGGGACGGUACUGACACUGAGACGCGAAAGCGUGGGGAGCAAACAGG